UUCCUGAAACCGUGUGCCUACAAGUAGUUAGAGCCCGUUAAUGGGUGAUAGCGUGCCUUUUGUAGAAUGAACCGGCGAGUUACGAUUUGUUGCAAGGUUAAGCGGAAAAAGCGGAGCCGUAGCGAAAGCGAGUCUGAAUAGGGCGCAUAAGUAACAGGUCGUAGACCCGAAACCAGGUGAUCUACCCAUGUCCAGGAUGAAGGUAAGGUAAUACUUACUGGAGGUCCGAACCCACGCACGUUGAAAAGUGCGGGGAUGAGGUGUGGGUAGCGGAGAAAUUCCAAUCGAACUUGGAGAUAGCUGGUUCUCUCCGAAAUAGCUUUAGGGCUAGCCUCGAGGUAAAGAGUCAUGGAGGUAGAGCACUGUUUGGACUAGGGGCCCUUCUCGGGUUACCGAAUUCAGAUAAACUCCGAAUGCCAUGUACUUAUACUCGGGAGUCAGACUGCGAGUGAUAAGAUCCGUAGUCGAAAGGGAAACAGCCCAGACCACCAGUUAAGGUCCCCAAAUAUAUGUUAAGUGGAAAAGGAUGUGGGGUUGCUUAGACAACCAGGAUGUUGGCUUAGAAGCAGCCACCAUUGAAAGAGUGCGUAAUAGCUCACUGGUCGAGUGACCCCGCGCCGAAAAUGUACCGGGGCUAAACAUAUUACC
Molecule: ribosomal RNA, 648 nt
Filed under: Listeria monocytogenes
Lineage: Bacteria; Bacillati; Bacillota; Bacilli; Caryophanales; Listeriaceae
Description: partial 23S ribosomal RNA
Rfam family: Bacterial large subunit ribosomal RNA
Source: RNAcentral